CGUCACGAAAGUUGGUAACACCCGAAGCCCGUGGCCUAACCCUUGUGGGGGGAGCGGUCGAAGGUGGGAUUGGCGAUUGGGACGAAGUCGUAACAAGGUAGCCGUACCGGAAGGUGCGGCUGGAUCACCUCCUUUCUAAGGAGCCUAUUUUCUCCUCGGUUUUUGUCUAGUGUUCGAGGGGGCCUCAUGGAUUGAGUGUUUGUGGGGUUGGGUUUUCUAGUGGAACAUGGGAAGUUGGCAUGCUGUUGGGUUCUGGGGUAACACCCUGUGCUACCUGUGAUCAUGUGCGGCCGUUGUGGUUGUGUGUGGUUGUGGUGUUGGUGUGGUGGUUGAGAAUUGUAUAGUGGACGCGAGCAUCUUUUGGUUUUUUGUAAGUGUUCAAGGGCGUUCGGUGGAUGCCUUGGCACAUAGAGCCGAUGAAGGACGUUGUUGCCUGCGAUAAGCCUCGGGGAGUUGGCGAACGAGCUGUGAUCCGAGGGUGUCCGAAUGGGGAAACCUGGCCAGAGUUGUUUCUGGUGACCGCUGCCUGAAUGUAUAGGGUAGUUGGGGGUAACUCGGG
This 559-nucleotide unclassified non-coding RNA is filed under the name Arcanobacterium wilhelmae. Its description in RNAcentral is "partial contains 16S ribosomal RNA and 16S-23S ribosomal RNA intergenic spacer". The stretch from base 369 to 559 matches the Rfam family "Bacterial large subunit ribosomal RNA", at positions 1 to 189 of the family's 2925-position model. Lineage: Bacteria; Bacillati; Actinomycetota; Actinomycetes; Actinomycetales; Actinomycetaceae. The record is from RNAcentral.